RNAcentral lists this long non-coding RNA (201 nucleotides) under Setaria viridis. RNAcentral's name for it is "long non-coding RNA (SVIR_LNC004070)". Lineage: Eukaryota; Viridiplantae; Streptophyta; Magnoliopsida; Poales; Poaceae. The record is from RNAcentral.
UUCCACUACUCCUCUAAUAUAUAAUUAACAUUACCCUCUCUCACAUGAAAGCAACAGAUAAUGCAUGGUGAUGCCAAGGUCAAAGAUUUUUUUGUAGGCUCUCCAUCACUUUCCUGUCUCAACCAGAAUCUUUCAUAGAUCAUGGGUGCCGUGGACAUCCACCAUUUGAGCUGUUGGUGCCGCACGAGGGCCCCGCCCCCA